CCGCCCUCUCGGCGAAAUUGCCGACCCCCCUCACGCCGCCGCUGCCGGUCGAAGCUCCCGGUGGUUUCCCUUGGUCAGCUCCGGUCGGUUCUCUAUUUCCGGCGGAUUGCCCCUUUUCGUUGAUGGUGACCGCCAUCUUUGCCUGAGCCGCUCGCACCUUCUGCUUCUCCUCCCACCACUCCGGAUAUCCGGUUAAGAGGAAGCACUCCUCCCGGGAGAUAAACUCAAUGCCUCCUCUGGGACUCCGACCGGUAGACAAUGUAGGUGUGGGAUCUCAAAAUGACAAGGAGAAGAUGAAGGCUUCCAAUUUCCCAGUCAACGCCUUCACUAUAGGAAAGUGGAAGAGGGAGUCUACUCGCAAAGGCGACUUGACUGCCAAAAUCUACUAUGUCAAGAAGAAGUUGGUGUGGGAGUUUCUCAAUGGGCCUUUGAAGAGCAAAAUGGAAGUUUGUUGAUUUGAUAUCACUGCAAU
Molecule: long non-coding RNA, 472 nt
Organism: Salvia splendens (bonfire salvia)
Lineage: Eukaryota; Viridiplantae; Streptophyta; Magnoliopsida; Lamiales; Lamiaceae
Exons: 3
Source: RefSeq, a predicted model, not a curated record